RNAcentral lists this transfer RNA (68 nucleotides) under Coenagrion lanceolatum. Its description in RNAcentral is "tRNA-Leu". Lineage: Eukaryota; Metazoa; Arthropoda; Insecta; Odonata; Coenagrionidae. The record is from RNAcentral.
GGAUACUGUGCAAUUCAGUUUGAUUUGAUUACAUAUUAAUUUACUUUUUCUUUUUAUUUAUAUUUUGG